RNAcentral lists this long non-coding RNA (1054 nucleotides) under Triticum aestivum (bread wheat). Its description in RNAcentral is "long non-coding RNA (TAES_LNC011861)". The record is from RNAcentral. Lineage: Eukaryota; Viridiplantae; Streptophyta; Magnoliopsida; Poales; Poaceae.
AGGCUAACAGGGUGCAGGUAUGUAUACUAUUGUCCGUCUGUCAACACUGCUUUCUUGUUCACUUCCAUAUCAUAUCCUUCCCCACUUGAAACAAACAAAUCCUCUAUAUGUAUGUUCAGGCCUCGGGUGACUCGCUUUGCACAUGACCUGGGCAACUUGAUCAUUUCCUUACCACUAAAGUUUUAACUGUCACACAUGUUGUAGAUUCAGAAUGCCUCGCCUACUUUGUCAUACUACUACGACCUGUGUUCGUUUGUAAAAAUAAAUCAAUCCAUAGGAUAAAAACUGUAGAACAUUCAUUCAUCACGAAGUAGAUAGUGUUGCUAGCUCCUGAAUCAUUGUUGCAUAUUUUAGACAGAACCAAAAGAGAAACAUUACAUUUCAUAAAUUUGUACGAUAAGCAUUUAUUAGUUUGGUAUUUUAUUUAGCGAGUGUGCUAUUUCAUUAGUUUGGUAUUCUUACAGCUCAUGAACACUUGGGUAGACAAAAUGCAUUUAUUUAUUUUUGAAGCGAAAACGGAAACAAAAGCAGUGUCAACAAGUACCAACUGAAGGUUAUAGAACCAAAUCAGGGGGUCAAGUUCCCCCCUGACAACACAAACCUACAUAAUUUGAGAACAGAGCAAAAAUGGGCCGGCCUUAUUUCCAACCAGGGGGUCAAGUACCAACUCCAGGUUACAGAACCAAACCAGGGGUUCCCCAUUUUCCAAAAUGCAGUUUUUAUUUAUGUCAGCCUUAUUUCCAACCAAAUCCAUGAUCAUAUCUCAUACACUUGCUACUGUGUCCAUCACAAUUGAUUCAAAUAAAAUUACAAAGUAAUGGACAGAUGCAAACUGAACCAAAUAUGUAACAGAACAUGCAAUUGUUCCUGAAGAUGCAAUUGCGGGAGGGAGGGGAACCAAUACCUGGUCGCUGAUGUCGUUUUUGCAUGAGGAGGAGAUCAGCAGGGGCACACCGGAGCACCUUCAUGCCGGACUGCCAGAGCACCUCGCCGCCGGAGGAGCCAGCCUUGGACAACAGAGAAAUAGGCCGGUCAGAGAGAGAGGUACCUGCCG